Non-coding RNA from Acanthosepion pharaonis, 112 nucleotides. The record is from the annotation of a GenBank genome assembly. NCBI's taxonomy places the organism in Eukaryota, Metazoa, Mollusca, Cephalopoda, Sepiida, Sepiidae.
UACAGCCAUAUCACAUUGAAACACCAGUUCUUGUAUGAUCACCAAAAUUAAGCAAUGUUGAGCCAGGUCAGUACCUAGAUGAGUCACCACUUAGGAAUAUCAGGUGAUGUAG